This 445-nucleotide ribosomal RNA is filed under the name uncultured bacterium. RNAcentral's name for it is "partial 16S ribosomal RNA". It matches the Rfam family "Bacterial small subunit ribosomal RNA", at positions 354 to 796 of the family's 1533-position model. The record is from RNAcentral.
GUGAGGAAUAUUGCGCAAUGGAGGCAACUCUGACGCAGCCAUGCCGCGUGCAGGAAGAAUGCGCUACGCGUUGUAAACUGCUUUUAACCGGGAAGAAACCCCAGGACGUGUCCUGGGUUGACGGUACCGGAGGAAUAAGCACCGGCUAACUUCGUGCCAGCAGCCGCGGUAAUACGAAGGGUGCAAGCGUUAUCCGGAUUCAUUGGGUUUAAAGGGUGCGUAGGCGGAGCGUUAAGUCAGUGGUGAAAUCCUGCAGCUUAACUGUAGACUUGCCAUUGAUACUGGCGCUCUUGAGUGCGCUUGAAGUGGGCGGAAUGUGCCGUGUAGCGGUGAAAUGCUUAGAUAUGGCACAGAACACCAAUUGCGAAGGCAGCUCACUAAGGCGAUACUGACGCUGAGGCACGAAAGCGUGGGGAUCGAACAGGAUUAGAAACCCGAGUAGUCC